RNAcentral lists this ribosomal RNA (782 nucleotides) under uncultured bacterium. RNAcentral describes it as "bacterial SSU rRNA". It matches the Rfam family "Bacterial small subunit ribosomal RNA", at positions 28 to 807 of the family's 1533-position model. The record is from RNAcentral.
AUUGAACGCUGGCGGCAGGCCUAACACAUGCAAGUCGAGCGGAUGAGUGGAGCUUGCUCCAUGAUUCAGCGGCGGACGGGUGAGUAAUGCCUAGGAAUCUGCCUGGUAGUGGGGGACAACGUUUCGAAAGGAACGCUAAUACCGCAUACGUCCUACGGGAGAAAGUGGGGGAUCUUCGGACCUCACGCUAUCAGAUGAGCCUAGGUCGGAUUAGCUAGUUGGUGAGGUAAAGGCUCACCAAGGCGACGAUCCGUAACUGGUCUGAGAGGAUGAUCAGUCACACUGGAACUGAGACACGGUCCAGACUCCUACGGGAGGCAGCAGUGGGGAAUAUUGGACAAUGGGCGAAAGCCUGAUCCAGCCAUGCCGCGUGUGUGAAGAAGGUCUUCGGAUUGUAAAGCACUUUAAGUUGGGAGGAAGGGCAGUAAGUUAAUACCUUGCUGUUUUGACGUUACCAACAGAAUAAGCACCGGCUAACUUCGUGCCAGCAGCCGCGGUAAUACGAAGGGUGCAAGCGUUAAUCGGAAUUACUGGGCGUAAAGCGCGCGUAGGUGGUUCGUUAAGUUGGAUGUGAAAGCCCCGGGCUCAACCUGGGAACUGCAUCCAAAACUGGCGAGCUAGAGUAUGGCAGAGGGUGGUGGAAUUUCCUGUGUAGCGGUGAAAUGCGUAGAUAUAGGAAGGAACACCAGUGGCGANNCGACCACCUGGGCUAAUACUGACACUGAGGUGCGAAAGCGUGGGGAGCAACAGGAUUAGAUACCCUGGNAGUCCACGCCGUAAAC